RNAcentral lists this ribosomal RNA (396 nucleotides) under uncultured bacterium. RNAcentral describes it as "bacterial SSU rRNA". It matches the Rfam family "Bacterial small subunit ribosomal RNA", at positions 28 to 428 of the family's 1533-position model. The record is from RNAcentral.
GACGAACGCUGGCGGCGUGCUUAACACAUGCAAGUCGAGCGGUAAGGCCCUUUCGGGGGUACACGAGCGGCGAACGGGUGAGUAACACGUGGGUGACCUGCCUUUAGCUCUGGGAUAAGCCUGGGAAACCGGGUCUAAUACCGGAUAUGACUCCGCGGCGCAUGUUGUGGGGUGGAAAGCCUUGUGCGGCUGGAGAUGGGCCCGCGGCCUAUCAGCUUGUUGGUGGGGUGAUGGCCUACCAAGGCGACGACGGGUAGCCGGCCUGAGAGGGCGACCGGCCACACUGGGACUGAGACACGGCCCAGACUCCUACGGGAGGCAGCAGUGGGGAAUCUUGCGCAAUGGGCGAAAGCCUGACGCAGCGACGCCGCGUGAGGGAUGACGGCCUGGUUGUAA